This 131-nucleotide non-coding RNA is filed under the name Nocardioides sp. Its description in RNAcentral is "TPP sequence". It matches the Rfam family "TPP riboswitch aptamer (THI element)". From Rfam's summary of the family: Vitamin B(1) in its active form thiamin pyrophosphate (TPP) is an essential coenzyme that is synthesised by coupling of pyrimidine and thiazole moieties in bacteria. The previously detected thiamin-regulatory element, thi box was extended, resulting in a new, highly conserved RNA secondary structure, the THI element, which is widely distributed in eubacteria and also occurs in some archaea. The record is from RNAcentral. RNAcentral also lists the same sequence under 1 other name. Lineage: Bacteria; Bacillati; Actinomycetota; Actinomycetes; Propionibacteriales; Nocardioidaceae.
CGCAGAAGACAGGGGAGCACGACCGGCCACCGGUGGCGUGCUGAGAGUGCGGACGACGAGUCGCGUCGUACCGCAGACCCUCCGAACCUGCUCCGGUUAGCACCGGCGAAGGGAGUCCACAUGAGGCGUGC